Molecule: ribosomal RNA, 441 nt
Filed under: uncultured Campylobacteraceae bacterium
Lineage: Bacteria; Pseudomonadati; Campylobacterota; Epsilonproteobacteria; Campylobacterales; Campylobacteraceae
Description: bacterial SSU rRNA
Rfam family: Bacterial small subunit ribosomal RNA
Source: RNAcentral
UCCUACGGGAGGCUGCAGUGGGGAAUAUUGCACAAUGGGGGAAACCCUGAUGCAGCAACGCCGCGUGGAGGAUGACACAUUUCGGUGCGUAAACUCCUUUUAUAAGAGAAGAUAAUGACGGUAUCUUAUGAAUAAGCACCGGCUAACUCCGUGCCAGCAGCCGCGGUAAUACGGAGGGUGCAAGCGUUACUCGGAAUCACUGGGCGUAAAGAGCGUGUAGGCGGAUUUGUAAGUUGGGAGUGAAAGCCUAUGGCUCAACCAUAGAACUGCUUCCAAAACUGCAUGUCUAGAGUGUGGGAGAGGUGGAUGGAAUUUCUGGUGUAGGGGUAAAAUCCGUAGAGAUCAGAAGGAAUACCGAUUGCGAAGGCGAUCUACUGGAACAUAACUGACGCUGAGACGCGAAAGCGUGGGGAGCAAACAGGAUUAGAUACCCUAGUAGUC